This is a non-coding RNA of Podarcis lilfordi (Lilford's wall lizard), 7477 nucleotides long. NCBI's taxonomy places the organism in Eukaryota, Metazoa, Chordata, Lepidosauria, Squamata, Lacertidae. The record is from the annotation of a GenBank genome assembly.
AGUUACCAGGUCUCCUAUGCCCCUGCUCCUGAAACUUGUGAUUCCAACAUACUUCCUAUCGCAUCAUCUAUUUCUUUCCACCCGGCACUAAGUAAGUUGAAAGAAGUCACAAAAUGUAGCCUUGCUUCUCUUUCAGUGAUCCCAAUGGUGUAAUAAUAGCACACCUGGAACAUUCACUGCUUAGGUCUAUUACCUAACUGCGUCAAACUCUGCUGUGUUCCAUUCCAAGUUCAGAAGUGUUUGAUACAUUUAUUUCCUUGAAUUAUAUUUUUGUUUUCCUAGGCAAAUUUCUUUCCCCUUCAUUUUGAAUCUUAUCCAAGGUGAUAAGUGCCUUUUCUUGAGCUCUAUGGCAGUUUGAGAGGGUCUUUAGAAAACAUAGUUUCCAUUUAUUUCCCUAGAUCUUCACUUGUUUUUCUGGCUAAAAGAAACUGGUUAAGGAUCCCAUCCACAGGACCUGCUUAUUAAACAUUCACCCUGAUUUGCUUGCACAAAGUUUAUGCAGUGGUUAGACCAGCACUUUUUGUCUAAAAAAAAUGUUUAGGGGCACACUCACAUUUUCCUACUUGUUUUUAAAUACUGCCUCUCAAUGAGGCCAAACUUAGAUUCACAAAAUGUUUAGGGGUAUUCAUACCCCCAGAAAAAAAGCACUGGUUAGACUAUGUCUGGUCUUUAUCGAGGAUGUGGUCUGAUUUGUUUACAUGGCAAUUAUAUGACAGUGAGCAGUCAUCCUGUUUUGCUUGUGGGGUGUUUGCGCAUUUUCCCGUUAUACACUAAUCCCAGUGCAUUUCCUCAUUGUUUCCCAAACUUUAAAAGUUACUUUUUUAAAGGGAGCUUUAAUCCACUUUACAUGCAAAAAGCUCCACUUCCUCUCUCAGACAAUGUGGAGUUUUUCUGAAGGCUCUAUUUUUUCUUCUUCCCAAUGUUAAGCUAUUUAGUAACUAGUACAUUUUUUCCUAUAGGUAUUUUGAAGCUUGAAGUUAACAAUGCUAAUUUUUUAUCUGAACAUUUUUAUUUACCUGGUUUAUAAGGCACAGGCUAGAAAACCUAUUCUUGGAGAGCAUCCAAAUAGCAUGAUUAUAAAGCUGAAGCCUUGGCAAAUGCUGAGUAAUAAAGAAAUGAAAAAAAUAUUUUCCAUAUAUCUGUAGUAUCACAGUAGGUGAUCAAGUUAUUAUUCAAUAAAUAUACAGCUGUUUUUCAUCAGUGACCCUUCCUUGUAAGUGGAGCGUCAGUUGCAGGCACACCACAUUUCUCCAGCAAUAUGUUGUUGCUAGAAAAUGCCACUCUUCCUCAGCUUCCAGAUGUGCUGCCUUUGUUUAAUGUGUUUGUGUGAACAUCAUGGGUUAGUGUAGGGGGCAUUAGCGAGGGACAACCUGACUGUGCCAUUAAACAAAAAAUUGAGAGGUUAAGUGAUUCUUAGGCACUAGUGCACUCAUGUAACCUUUUCAAAAUAAAGAGUAGGGAAACAGCUACUCUUGCUGUCUGCUAUUUUGUAAAUGUGAACCUUUAUUAUUAUUUUUAAUAAAAAAAAAUAAGCUUUAAUCGGUGUAAUUUAAUGGGCAGGUUAGUCAGUUAAUAAGCUUUAGCUGACCAUCGAAAGUAAGUUUUAUUUUUGGGGUUUGAGAUUUAUGGUAAUGCAUUUUUCUUUUUCGUGGCGCUGUCCCUAACCAAGGUACACAAUGUGAACUCAUAGAACUGGGUGUCCAUAACAGAACUGAAUUUGUCACUAGUUGUUGGGGAGGGGGAGUAUGUGUGUACAGGUAGUAAAGGCAGAGGCAGCCGGCUAUCAAAGGCUUUUGGUGUCACCUUCACAAGCAUCAUUCCACAUAUCGCCUCCCAUCACUCAUUCUCUAUCUCCCACUGUUUAUUAUGCUGUCACUUCUCUUCCCUGCAUCCUGCAUCUUUCAAGGAAGCCACACAAAUAGCAACAUUAUUGAAAACUAUUAGUGCUGUGCAGAUGCACAUUGUGAAGUAGUAUUAUCCCCCACUAAGGAUAUGGCUAUCAUUAAUGUGACUGUUUGGUCUCUGGGAAUAAAAUAGAGGAUAAAACUUCCUUCUCAAAGAUCCACUGUAAGGCUAAAGAUGAAGUAGGGGAGGAAAGUUAGGAAAAGAGUGCCAAAUCAGUUGUGUGGGAAUGAAGCCAUUCCCAUCAAUGCCAGUUUUGACACUGUGCAGCUGAUGCGCAUGAGAUGAGUAGCAGCAAACUCAAACACUCAGCAUAAAACUAAUCUGAGAAAUCCGAUAAUAAAUAGUCAGAAGUAGCAGUAUCAACACAAGAGGAGGUGAGCGCCAUGUGCAUUGUGAGAAGGGAAUAAGUGAUAAUACCACUUGAAAAAAAGCUUAGUGUGGAUAGGCCAAGUCUCCCAUGUUCAUAUCUCCUUUUGGCCUUGAGAGAAAUCAUGAUGACAAAACAAAUUGAUAAUGACAAAAGCAUGUCCUAUCAUUACAAUAGGCUGAUGAAUAAAUUGCCUGGAUUGCUUGGGAUGCUAGAUGGAGAAAGAAACUGACUGAUUUCACAUUUGGGAAUGAGAUCCAAAUGAAAUUAAUGAUAUCAGUUUAAAAUGCCAUACUGUGGGGAGGUUCAGCCUUCUCCCCUGGGCAUAGUAAAGUCAACAUCAUGUCCUGAUCUCAUUUAGAAUUGCCCAUUCUUCUUUCUAGCAGUAUGUCACAGCUGUGCUACUGUGUGCAUCUGGUGAAAGUCAAGGUGUUGUGCAGAAUUGCAAACUGGGCAAGUUCUGUGAAGUGUUCCUUUUUGGCAUACAGUAGCCAAGACAGAUGGCUUGUAGAUUUUCAAUAGCAUGCUGGCCUUGCCUAAUCUCAUCUUGACAGUCUGCUUCCAUAUCAUUUUGUGUCUUGAGAGAUAGAAUGCAAUUUUGAACAAACCCCUGGGCUUUGUACUUCUACAUUUGAACUUGUGAGAAUUCACUUCUCAUGUUGGGGAGAUGGUGUUAUCUUCAGUAGGAUCAGUGCUAUUUUUCUAGAAAAAGGGGUUGCUGGAAUUCACUAUCAACACCUCCCUCAGUCUCUUAGAAAGGCAAUGGUGCCCAUUUGAGAGGUGCCGGAACUGAGUCUCAGCAAGUUUCAGCUGGGGAAAAACCCUAAGUGGGGUUGCUAGCAGGAAGGUGUGCGAUAACAUUGGUGAUAAAUGAAUACAAGGAGAUUCAGCUUUCUGACAUUUCCAUGCUCAUACACAGCUUAUGUCAUGUGGUCAGAGGUCUUGUUUCCCAGCAUGCAUUGCUCUGCUCAUGUGAUGCACGCCACCAAGGUCAGCCCAUCCCAUUCCACCACCUGAGGUGAUUAGGGAAGGUACCACCCCUGCCUUGCUUAUCAGGGUCACACGGCAGUGGCAGGGAUAGGGACGCCACCCCAUGGGUUUCUGCAGCGGCGUAGCGUGGGUUGUCAGCACCCGGGGCAAGGCAAGUAAUUUGCGCCCCCUAACCUGGGGCAAGGCAAGUAAUUUGCGCCCCCUAACCCGGGGCAAGGCAAGUAAUUUGCGCCCCCUAACCCCUAACCUGCCACCGCUGCCAGCUUCUUCUUGCUGCUGCCUGGUCUGGUCUGGUGUGGUUCUCUCCCGCGCUCAGCGCUGCGCUGGGCGGCCGCUGCACUGUCCCUCCCCCAGAUAGUCACUCACUCUCUCUCCGCACCGCACGCCUGGCACCAACACCCUCGACAGUGGGCGGGGACCCAGCGGCUCGGAUCGGAUUCGCACAGCCAGCACUGCAGUGAGAGAGAGUGAGCGAGCCAGGUAGGGGCAGAGAGCUGCGAGUGCGAGCGCGCGCGCCCCAGAUGUUGCGCCUGGUGCGGCCGGCCCCCCCUGCACCCCCCACGCUACGCCACUGGGUUUCUGCCACCCAAGGCAGCUGUUUCAGUCCACCUCAUGUGUGUGCUGGCCCUGCACACCACUGCGGCAGCCAAUUAGUGAGUGGUAGUAAGGUUUGGAGUACAAAGGCGUGCCUUGUGCCCCCUAACCUAGCCUCUUGUCUUCUGGUGCAGAAGAGGAUGGUGUCCCAUUGUCAUUUUUGAAGUAAGAUUCAAGUGCCAGCCCAUUUGGGUUCUCUAUACGGAAUAGAAGGGGGCCGUCAUCUUGUCCUUGACUUGGAUCAGCCCUGACUGUGGGGCUGAGAUAGUGAUCUCUCAGCCUGACCUACGUUACUGAGUUGUUUUGAGAACUAAAAGGGAUGGAGGGGAGUCACACAUGCUGCCUUAAGCCAGAAGGGAUAGGAUAAUAAAAAUGUAAUAAAACAGUGAUAAAGUAUCCUUUGAGUAGAAAGUAUACCAAAACAAUUGUGUGCGUGCAAUGCACAAGAUGAAAAGCCAAAAGAAAUUGGUUCUUGGAAACAGAAACAUUUAAUCUGAUUUUGUAUAUUUCUUGACCUAAGUUGCUGCUCAUCUUUCCCAGCUCCUUAGCUUUCUUUCUGUAUCAGUUGUAGUGUGUGUGUUUUUCCCCCUUUAGACCUUGCACGGUUGAUUUUCCGGUUAAAUUUAUGUUCUAUGUUAUUAUGUUCUAUCAGUUAUUAUGCUAUUCAGCCACAUUUGCUGAAGAAAUGGCACCAUUCUUUUAACAUUAUCUGGUUACUGACAUUCCUUUUGGAUUGUUCUACUUUGAGCCAAAUUGUUUUAUUUAAGCUUCGUUAUUAUCUAUUUAAUUAAUUAAUUAAUUAAUUAAUUUAUAAUCUCACGCUUCCUCUUGAUGCAACAAAAAACAUCAAAUGCUUAGGUAAACAGGAAUGUUUUAAAAUUUCUCAUGGAAGUCUGUAGUGAGGGAGACAUAUGAACCAACCACACCAAUCAAAGUUUUCCACAAGCAGGGAACGGCUGCUGAUUAGGCCUUAUCGCAAUUCAGUGCCAACUAGGCACCCACCAGUGGCAGCACCACUGAAAACAAAUUUUGUAUCUUAUCCCUUCCAACUCUACAGUUCUAUGACUCUAGAACACCACAAUCUCCACUGUCCCUCCAUCAUUCCAAGGAAAUUGAACUUUGGGUUGUUGUUGUUGUUUAGUUGUUUAGUCGUGUCCGACUCUUCGUAACCCCAUGGACCAGAGCACGCCAGGCACUCCUGUCUUCCACGAACUUUGGGUAGGCGCCUCUAACCCCUGGAAUCUCAUACAACUUGGAGAUCAGGGUGUCAGGCAACAACAAAGCUCUAGAUGAGAUGUGGGGGUUUGGCCUAGACAUCACUAUGCAGGUUACUGAAGCAAACAGAAGGGACAAGAGUGAGAAAAAUCUUUCAGUGUAUGGUGUGAAUGUGGUCAGUGCCAUCUCUUCACAUUGGCUGGCAAUGCUUCAGAAACUAAAGUGUGCUAUCAGAAUAAAAAUCAGUAAUAGAAUAUAUGAAAGGACAGGGGUUAAACAUGUUGGGGGGGAAAGGGUGGGGGGAGACAUAAGAGAUUCUUCAAUGUGUGAUACAGUGCAAGGGUAUGUAUAGAACUUGCUCGCAAGUUCUCCUCUUCAAGUAAAAACAUGCUAAAUCAGGCAUAUAACUCUUAACUGUCUUGGAUUGCAAACUAGCCAGGCUUCCCUACAGGAACUAGCUAUCAACUUUGAAAUAGAACUGGCCUGGUUGGAAGGAAUGUUGGAAGAAAUGAUAAGGAGAGGUUUUAUUUGGGGCAUGGCAUGAAGCAAGGUGGAGUCUGCAGCUGGGAAUUUUUUUUGAUGGUAAUCAGAGUAAAUUUUUUGAUGAUAAUCAGAGGGACUUUGAAUUCCAAAGUCCUUUUGGUUUUUUAUUUUUUGCUGUCUCUCUGGAACACACCCAAACCUCCGGCAGUACAGUGGUACCUCGCAAGACGAAUGCCUCGCAAGACAAAAAACUCGCUAGACGAAAGGGUUUUUUGUUUUUUGAGCUGCUUCGCAAGACGAUUUUCCCUAUGGGCUUGCUUCGCAAGACAGAAACGUCUUGCAAGUUUGUUUCCUUUUUCUUAACACCGUUAAUACAGUUGCGACUUGACUUCGAGGAGCAACUCAUAGAACGCGGUGUGGUAGCCUUUUUUGAGGUUUUUAAAGACUUUGGUGAUUUUUGAAGCUUUUCCAAAACUUUCCCGACACAGUGCUUCGCAAGACGAAAAAAAUCGCAAGACGACAAAACUCGCGGAACGAAUUAAUUUCGUCUUGCGAGGCACCACUGUAUAAAAAUGUCCCUCUCUGAUUUAUAUACAUUUUAAAAUAACAGUGGUGUCUCUUUUGCACGCUUUCUAGGGUUUGUAAAGAACUACAUUUCAGAUCAGCUAGCUUUGCAAAAGCAAAAGAUGUAACAAGAUAGAAUCAAUUGACAGACUCAAAAACAUUGUAUCAGAAACACUGUUGGUGCACUCUAGCAAAAGUCAACCCUAGUUAUGUACCACUGAAAUCAAUGGACUUGAGUUAGACAUAAUUAUGGUGCCUGAAGUCCUAAUCAAGAGAGCAUGUCUCACCAAAUGCAAUGAAACUAAAGCCCUCACUAUACACACAGCUGCUACUAUGUGGAAAUUACAAAUCCAUGGGCUGAUCCCAUGUUACAGGGAGCAGUAAAUGGUGCAACAUGGGCCCUGCUGAUAUCUUAGUAUGCAUGGGUAGCUGAUGCUGUAGGUCCCAUUCCAUUGCUUUCAGUGGAAAAGCAACCUGUUGACAUCAAGACAUGUGCUACUGGGGUUUACCUCUGACUGACUCAGCAUUCAUAGUAUUGUACUAUAGUCACACCUAAAAUGUGAUCAACUCAUUUUGGAGAAGGAGUUAGGAACGAUAUGAUCAAAUACUAAGAUGGCAGAGUGGACUGGACCAGGUACAGGAUACCGGGGCUUUUGUUCAGGGUUCACAUUGAGAGAAAACAGGGUGGUCAAGGAGGAUCAAGAAUACACAAUUAGGAAAUAAUCCCACUGAACUCAGUAGGAAUUACCAUAUAUCUGUGUAAAUGUUCAUAGGAGUCUACUGUUGGUUUCCUUUCAGAAUCUAAUUGGAGAAGCUGCAUCAAGUGGUGUCCAUAGGCAUUAAGAAGAGGAACUGCAAGAAUGAAAACUGCAAGAAGUUGGAAAGAGGAGGUCUCAUUAAACUCAUUGAAUGCUUCCAAACUUUUUAAGAAAGCAUUAGUAAUUGAAAGGCUGACACACAAAGUUAAUAUCAAUGGGGGAAUUUAAAAAAACACUUUAGAAGUCCAGUGGAACUUUCUGGCAUAUAAAGGAAAAAUAAUAACUGCUAAUUCAUCAUAAUGAAUCUAGCAUAAAUUGUAUACUGGAUGUGUGUGUGUUUCCCAUAGGUGAUAAAAUAAUAGCUACAAAGCAGAGAGGUUCAUAAAGCGAAACACAGAUGGAAAAGAAAAAGAAGUACAGUAUGUAACAGUUUCACUUUGAAACAGAAAGCAAAUUACACCCGAGCAAGCAUCAGGCAGGCAACAGUUUUAGCAUAGUCAGUAAGAGAAAUGCACGUUGACCAUUUUGAAAUCAGUAACUUAAAGGGUGUUGAAAUGAAAUUUCAUGUGUUCUCUCUAUGUGUGCAGCUGUACAUCCCUAG